GCCCAGGUGGCGAAAUUGGCAGACGCGCUAGCUUCAGGAGCUAGUUCCCUCACGGGAAUGGAGGUUCAAGUCCUCUCCUGGGCA
Molecule: transfer RNA, 84 nt
Filed under: Planctomycetota bacterium
Lineage: Bacteria; Pseudomonadati; Planctomycetota
Also listed under: 1 other name
Description: Planctomycetes bacterium tRNA-Leu
Rfam family: tRNA
About the family: Transfer RNA (tRNA) molecules are approximately 80 nucleotides in length. Their secondary structure includes four short double-helical elements and three loops (D, anti-codon, and T loops).
Source: RNAcentral